This 468-nucleotide ribosomal RNA is filed under the name uncultured bacterium. RNAcentral describes it as "partial 16S ribosomal RNA". It matches the Rfam family "Bacterial small subunit ribosomal RNA", at positions 28 to 507 of the family's 1533-position model. The record is from RNAcentral.
GACGAACGCUGGCGGCGUGCUUAACACAUGCAAGUCGAACGGAAAGGCCCUGCUUUGGUGGGGUGCUCGAGUGGCGAACGGGUGAGUAACACGUGAGUAACCUGCCCUUGACUUUGGGAUAACUUCAGGAAACUGUGGCUAAUACCGGAUAGGAGCUCCUGCUGCAUGGUGGGGGUUUGAAAGUUUCGGCGGUUGGGGAUGGACUCGCGGCUGAUCAGCAUGAUGGUGUGGUAGUGGCUUACCAAGGCCUUGACGGGUAGCCGUACUGAGAGGGUGACAGGCCACAGUGGGACUGGGAUACGGCCCAGACUCCUACGGGAGGCAGCGGUGGGGGUUAUUGCACAAUGGGCGGCAGCCGGAUGCAGCAUCGCCGCGUGGGGGAUGACGGCCUUAGGGUUGUAACCCGCUUUCGCCUGGGAAGAAGCGUGAGUGACGGUAAUGGGUAAAGAAGCAACGGCUAACUACGUG